GGCAUUGACUGAUGGUCGAGCGGCAAAGACAUUUGACUCUCACUCAAAAGUCUCGGGUUCGACUCCCGGCCGUGGCA
Rhamnusium bicolor is the source of this 77-nucleotide non-coding RNA. NCBI's taxonomy places the organism in Eukaryota, Metazoa, Arthropoda, Insecta, Coleoptera, Cerambycidae. The record is from the annotation of a GenBank genome assembly.